RNAcentral lists this ribosomal RNA (1143 nucleotides) under Klebsiella sp. MYb280. RNAcentral's name for it is "bacterial SSU rRNA". The record is from RNAcentral. Lineage: Bacteria; Pseudomonadati; Pseudomonadota; Gammaproteobacteria; Enterobacterales; Enterobacteriaceae.
GUCGCAAGACCAAAGAGGGGGACCUUCGGGCCUCUUGCCAUCAGAUGUGCCCAGAUGGGAUUAGCUAGUAGGUGGGGUAACGGCUCACCUAGGCGACGAUCCCUAGCUGGUCUGAGAGGAUGACCAGCCACACUGGAACUGAGACACGGUCCAGACUCCUACGGGAGGCAGCAGUGGGGAAUAUUGCACAAUGGGCGCAAGCCUGAUGCAGCCAUGCCGCGUGUAUGAAGAAGGCCUUCGGGUUGUAAAGUACUUUCAGCGGGGAGGAAGGCAAUAAGGUUAAUAACCUUGUCCAUUGACGUUACCCGCAGAAGAAGCACCGGCUAACUCCGUGCCAGCAGCCGCGGUAAUACGGAGGGUGCAAGCGUUAAUCGGAAUUACUGGGCGUAAAGCGCACGCAGGCGGUCUGUCAAGUCGGAUGUGAAAUCCCCGGGCUCAACCCUGGGAACUGCAUUCGAAACUGGCAGGCUGGAGUCUUGUAGAGGGGGGGUAGAAWUUCCAGGUGUAGCGGUGAAAUGCGUAGAGAUCUGGAGGAAUACCGGUGNGCGAAAGGCGGCCCCCUGGACAAAGACUGACGCUCAGGUGCGAAAGCGUGGGGGAGCAAACAGGAUUAGAUACCCUGGUAGUCCACGCUGUAAACGAUGUCGACUUUGGAGGUUGUUCCCUUGAGGAGUGGCUUCCGGAGCUAACGCGUUAAGUCGACCGCCUGGGGAGUACGGCCGCAAGGUUAAAACUCAAAUGAAUUGACGGGGGCCCGCACAAGCGGUGGAGCAUGUGGUUUAAUUCGAUGCAACGCGAAGAACCUUACCUACUCUUGACAUCCAGGGAACUUAGCAGAGAUGCUUUGGUGCCUUCGGGAACCGUGAGACAGGUGCUGCAUGGCUGUCGUCAGCUCGUGUUGUGAAAUGUUGGGUUAAGUCCCGCAACGAGCGCAACCCUUAUCCUUUGUUGCCAGCGGUCCGGCCGGGAACUCAAAGGAGACUGCCAGUGAUAAACUGGAGGAAGGUGGGGAUGACGUCAAGUCAUCAUGGCCCUUACGAGUAGGGCUACACACGUGCUACAAUGGCAUAUACAAAGAGAAGCGACCUCGCGAGAGCAAGCGGACCUCAUAAAGUAUGUCGUAGUCCGGAUUGGAGUCUGCAA